AUCUUCCGCAAUGGACGAAAGUCUGACGGAGCAACGCCGCGUGAGUGAUGAAGGCUUUCGGGUCGUAAAACUUUGUUGUUAGGGAAGAACAAGUGCUAGUUGGUUAAGCUGGCACCUUGACGGUACCUAACCAGAAAGCUACGGCUAACUACGUUCCAGCAGCCGCGGUAAUACGUAGGUGGCAAGCGUUAUCCGGAAUUAUUGGGCGUAAAGCGCGCGCAGGUGGUUUCUUAAGUCUGAUGUGAAAGACCACGGCUCAACCGUGGAGGGUCAUUGGAACCUGGGAGACUGGAGUGCAGAAGAGGAAAGUGGAAUUCCAUGUGUAGCGGUGAAAUGCGUAGAGAUAUGGAGGAACACCAGUGGCGAAGGCGACUUUCUGGUCUGUAACUGACACUGAGGCGCGAAAGCGUGGGGAGCAAACAGG
Molecule: ribosomal RNA, 424 nt
Filed under: uncultured bacterium
Lineage: Bacteria
Description: bacterial SSU rRNA
Rfam family: Bacterial small subunit ribosomal RNA
Source: RNAcentral